This 995-nucleotide ribosomal RNA is filed under the name Plesiomonas shigelloides. Its description in RNAcentral is "bacterial SSU rRNA". It matches the Rfam family "Bacterial small subunit ribosomal RNA", at positions 32 to 1025 of the family's 1533-position model. Lineage: Bacteria; Pseudomonadati; Pseudomonadota; Gammaproteobacteria; Enterobacterales; Enterobacteriaceae. The record is from RNAcentral.
GGCCAUGGCGGCAGCUACACAUGCAGUCGAGCGGUAACACAGAGGAGCUUGCUCCUUGGGUGACGAGCGGCGGACGGGUGAGUAAUGCCUGGGGAUCUGCCCGAUAGAGGGGGAUAACUACGGGAAACUGUAGCUAAUACCGCAUAAUGUCUACGGACCAAAGUGGGGGCUCUUCGGACCUCAUGCUAUCGGAUGAACCCAGGUGGGAUUAGCUAGUUGGUGAGGUAAUGGCUCACCAAGGCGACGAUCUCUAACUGGUUUGAGAGAAUGACCAGUCACACUGGAACUGAGACACGGUCCAGACUCCUACGGGAGGCAGCAGUGGGGAAUAUUGCACAAUGGGCGCAAGCCUGAUGCAGCCAUGCCGCGUGUGUGAAGAAGGCCUUCGGGUUGUAAAGCACUUUCGGGAGGAAGGGUCACUAGUUAAUACCUAGUGGCAUUGACGUUACUCGCAGAAGAAGCACCGGCUAACUCCGUGCCAGCAGCCGCGGUAAUACGGAGGGUGCAGCGUUAAUCGGAAUUACUGGGCGUAAAGCGCACGCAGGCGGUUUGUUAAGUCAGAUGUGAAAUCCCCGAGCUCAACUUGGGAACUGCAUUUGAAACUGGCAAGCUAGAGUCUUGUAGAGGGGGGUAGAAUUCCAGGUGUAGCGGUGAAAUGCGUAGAGAUCUGGAGGAAUACCGGUGGCGAAGGCGGCCCCCUGGACAAAGACUGACGCUCAGGUGCGAAAGCGUGGGGAGCAAACAGGAUUAGAUACCCUGGUAGUCCACGCUGUAAACGAUGUCGAUUUGGAGGUUGUGCCCUUGAGGCGUGGCUUCCGGAGCUAACGCGUUAAAUCGACCGCCUGGGGAGUACGGCCGCAAGGUUAGAACUCAAAUGAAUUGACGGGGCCCGCACAAGCGGUGGAGCAUGUGGUUUAAUUCUAUGCAACGCGAAGAGCCUUACCUACUCUUGACAUCCACAGAACUCUUGCAGAGAUGCAGGUGUGCCUUCGGGA